This 169-nucleotide non-coding RNA is filed under the name Pseudogracilibacillus auburnensis. Lineage: Bacteria; Bacillati; Bacillota; Bacilli; Caryophanales; Bacillaceae. The record is from RNAcentral.
UUUGUCGUGAGACAAAAGCUGAAGGAAGCGUGUACCAAAAUCUUGGUCCGACGAACAGAAAUCUGAUACAAAGGCUUUAUAGGCGGAUGAGACUCCAAUUCAAGUCAAAGUCCAUGUAUAUGAGAAAUUACGGUUCUAUACACCUGAUAAAUGGAGUUAAGUAAUCUAA